This 816-nucleotide ribosomal RNA is filed under the name Lacticaseibacillus rhamnosus. Its description in RNAcentral is "bacterial SSU rRNA". It matches the Rfam family "Bacterial small subunit ribosomal RNA", at positions 111 to 912 of the family's 1533-position model. Lineage: Bacteria; Bacillati; Bacillota; Bacilli; Lactobacillales; Lactobacillaceae. The record is from RNAcentral.
UAACACGUGGGUAACCUGCCCUUAAGUGGGGGAUAACAUUUGGAAACAGAUGCUAAUACCGCAUAAAUCCAAGAACCGCAUGGUUCUUGGCUGAAAGAUGGCGUAAGCUAUCGCUUUUGGAUGGACCCGCGGCGUAUUAGCUAGUUGGUGAGGUAACGGCUCACCAAGGCAAUGAUACGUAGCCGAACUGAGAGGUUGAUCGGCCACAUUGGGACUGAGACACGGCCCAAACUCCUACGGGAGGCAGCAGUAGGGAAUCUUCCACAAUGGACGCAAGUCUGAUGGAGCAACGCCGCGUGAGUGAAGAAGGCUUUCGGGUCGUAAAACUCUGUUGUUGGAGAAGAAUGGUCGGCAGAGUAACUGUUGUCGGCGUGACGGUAUCCAACCAGAAAGCCACGGCUAACUACGUGCCAGCAGCCGCGGUAAUACGUAGGUGGCAAGCGUUAUCCGGAUUUAUUGGGCGUAAAGCGAGCGCAGGCGGUUUUUUAAGUCUGAUGUGAAAGCCCUCGGCUUAACCGAGGAAGUGCAUCGGAAACUGGGAAACUUGAGUGCAGAAGAGGACAGUGGAACUCCAUGUGUAGCGGUGAAAUGCGUAGAUAUAUGGAAGAACACCAGUGGCGAAGGCGGCUGUCUGGUCUGUAACUGACGCUGAGGCUCGAAAGCAUGGGUAGCGAACAGGAUUAGAUACCCUGGUAGUCCAUGCCGUAAACGAUGAAUGCUAGGUGUUGGAGGGUUUCCGCCCUUCAGUGCCGCAGCUAACGCAUUAAGCAUUCCGCCUGGGGAGUACGACCGCAAGGUUGAAACUCAAAGGAAUUG